CCCCGUGCGGAGCCGCUGUCCUAUGGCCAGCUCCAGGUGGAGAAGGGGAAGUCCUUCGAAGACCAGCGCGAUCAGAGUACAUGAUGGGGAAUAUUCAGCCCACUCACCUCCUCCGUAGACUUGGCACAGGUACGGAAACCUCCAGACGUUGCCCAGCCCCACAGCAAAUCCAAUACAAGUGAGCAGUUUGAAGGAGUCUCUGAAGUGUCUCAAACCUUGGAAUACCUGCUGAUUAUUUCCCUUCGUCUGAGUGGGGUGGAGUCUCAGAUCUACAUC
Molecule: long non-coding RNA, 276 nt
Organism: Paramormyrops kingsleyae
Lineage: Eukaryota; Metazoa; Chordata; Actinopteri; Osteoglossiformes; Mormyridae
Source: RefSeq, a predicted model, not a curated record